AUGAUCUCGUAUGUACAUAAUGAAAACUUCAUUCUCUAUUCUACGGUAAUUUUUUAUGAAAGCAUUUCAUUUGCUUCUAUUCAAUGGAAGUUUCAUUUUCCUAGAAUGUAUCCAAUUUUUGGUCUAAUUCUUCUUCUGACGAUCGAUUUAACCUCAGAUCAAAAAGAUAGACCUUGGUUCUGUUUUAUCUCUUCAACAAGUUUAUACAUUGAAUGUACAGAAAUGGCUAUAACAAAGUUUAUGUUAUUCGUAUUAACAACUAUUCCGGGGGAAUGUUUUUAUGUGUUGCUAACGAUUUAA
RNAcentral lists this ribosomal RNA (300 nucleotides) under Triticum aestivum (bread wheat). RNAcentral's name for it is "partial small subunit ribosomal RNA". Lineage: Eukaryota; Viridiplantae; Streptophyta; Magnoliopsida; Poales; Poaceae. The record is from RNAcentral.